CGCGGUAAUUCCAGCUCUAAUAGCGUAUAUUAAAGUUGUUGCAGUUAGAACGCUCGUAGUCGGAUUUCGGGGCGGGCCGACCGGUCUGCCGAUGGGUACGCACUGGUCGGCGCGUCCUUCCUUCCGGAGACCGUGCCUACUCUUAACUGAGCGGGGGCGGGAGACGGAUCGUUUACUUUGAAAAAAUCAGAGUGUUUCAAGCAGGCAGCUCGCUCUUGCAUGGAUUAGCAUGGGAUAAUGAAAUAGGACUUUGGUGCUAUUUUGUUGGUUUCGAACACCGAAGUAAUGAUUAAAAGGGACAGUCAGGGGCACUCGUAUUCCGCCGAGAGAGGUGAAAUUCUCAGACCAGCGGAAGACGAACCACUGCGAAAGCAUUUGCCAGGGACGUUUUCACUGAUCAAGAACGAAAGUUAGGGGAUCGAAGAGGAUCAGAUACCCUCGUAGUCUUAACCAUAAACCAUGCCGACUAGGGAUUGGAGGAUGUUCACUGAUUGACUCCUUCAGCACCUUACGGGAAACUAAAGUCUUUGGGUUCCGGGGGGAGUAUGGUCGCAAGGCUGAAUCUCAAAGGAAAUGACGG
RNAcentral lists this ribosomal RNA (580 nucleotides) under Haptophyta environmental samples. RNAcentral's name for it is "SSU rRNA". It matches the Rfam family "Eukaryotic small subunit ribosomal RNA", at positions 575 to 1159 of the family's 1831-position model. Lineage: Eukaryota; Haptophyta. The record is from RNAcentral.